GUGGAAGGCGGCGCGUGUUGAACAGGAAGUGCGCGGCGUGCGGCGCCACUGCCCCACUCCCCGUCGCCCCCGGGUCGCCGCUCGCUGUCCCCUGCGGCCGAGGCCGCUGGGACUUUCUCCGAGAGCUGAUUUCGGAUCCAUCGCGUCUCCCAGUGUCUCUAUUUAGGCCUGACCCCCUGAAACACACAGAUGCACACGCGUCUCGUCCCUGCUGCAGGGGACCCGGCAGCGGUGGGAACCCCCGGUUUUCGGUGGGCUGCACGUUGACCAGCACAGGCUUCACGGAAAACCGCCCACCUGGCGUUUGACCCCAAUCCACAAGGAGAGCGGUCUGGGUCUCUGGGGCACUAGCAUCACCCACACGGCUGGAGCACCCACUGCUGAGUGCGGUCAGCCCUCAGGGCUUCCGCUCAAUUUCUUGGCCCAUCAUGAUGGCGCCACCUCUUCCCAAACCAAGGCAAUUCAGAGAAGAUGAUUAAACUGCUGCAUCAAGGCCAAGGCCUAUGACCGAGUCGGGAACUGCAAGACAAGGGAUGUUAAGACUGAAGAUGAUUUUGGAAGCCACAGGUCAUCUCUGCAGAGCAUCGACAACCUAGAAGGGUUCAGAAUCGGUGGUGUGCUCAUGGAUUCAAAGUCCACACCUGCCCUGUGCCCUUGGAAUGUCACCGAUGGCAGGAUUCUGGGGACUUAUAAAUGGAUGUGUGUGUCUGAUGAAUCCCCCUCCUCAUUGGCCGUGUCCCCAUGUGGGAAAGGUGACAGGAAGCAACUCUUUGGUCACCAUGCUGGGUAGCUCAUAUAAAUUAUCUCCUCUAAUGACAAUUAGCCCCCCUGAGAGAACGGCAUAUGCACUUCACGGUCUAGGGAAGCUGCAUCCUAGUUGCUAGCAAGUGCUUUGCAUCCAUUAACUUAUGUCCCUUGGUUCUCAUUGCUGUUCCCUUUAUGAAAACAGUACAGAUUUGCCCCCCUCCUCUUUUAAAAGCUUUACGCAAGACUCAGAAGACUCUCUAGUAAAUGCCUCCCAGGUGACUUAGAUAAGCUACAGAACAUCUCUGCUGCCUUGUUUCCAGACAGUGACACAGGAUUGUGAGAGCAAUGGCGUAUACCUUCAGGACCCCAGGGACUCAAUUCCAUGCCAAAUGCCACUCUUGGAAAAAUGAUCCAACAAGGUGUGGGCUCGGGGCCUCUGUAAAUGCUGUGCUAACUCACUGGACACCAAGCUCGGGGCAUGUACCUGACGAUGACAACCAAGGCCAAUAGGCACAUUCCCUUUCAGCUUGGGCACUCACCGGUGCAAAUGAAGCCACUAAUGUUGAUACCUGAGGGAAGAGAGGCGGGGGGCCCGGGUGAGUGGAACACUGCCCUGGGAUGCCAAAUCUCCUGACCACCCCCUUCAUGGGUCCAUUUUGAUUUGGGGAGGCACCCAAUUUGGCCUCUCCUCCAUCUCCUUUCAGGCUGCCCUUGAUCCAUAAUGCCUGUCAACCCCAGGCAGCCCCGAUGGCGAGAUCCGGGAUGCACUUUGGGAGGAGGAAAGGGCGAACUCUGUAGCAAUGUUCUCCCAAGGGUCAGAAUUGCUGUUCACUUCUUCCCUUGGGGAGAAGCCUGGGUCUUUGCCAGCGCUGUGCCUAAAAGCACAUUCAGCAGUUCUCCAGAACAACAGAUUCAGCAAGCAGGGUGCGUGGAACCACGCUGUGGGGCACAGUGGAGAGCGUCUGUUUGCUAAAUAAAAGGCAGGUAAUCCCAGCAAUCAGCUCCCUUCCUGACUAAGGGCCGUAGUCACGUAAACAGCAUUAGCUGGGAAUGAAGUCGUUGGUUCUGCCAACAGCUGCCUUCGUCACUGACCCACAGCAUGCCCGUUCCAGCGAUCUGCCUCACCUGCCAUGGGGUGGAACGUCUGGGCUCCCCAGGUUGCAGAAUGUGACUAAAGGUCUCUGUGUGUCAGCUCUAGACUUAGUUAUUAGCAUGCAAUAAGCAGACCAUCAACCCGGGAAGUUUGGAGUCCCAUUGCAACCUGAAUAUGGCUCCUGACCGUUUUCUGACCUCUUGAUCAUCUGUCCAUUGGUACGUGAGUAAAUAAUGCAAAUUAAUCAUAAUCAUUUCCUGAGCAAACAAAGUUACUUUGGCAAUUAUACCAGCUCCAAAGUGCCUACACUGCAGGACAGUGUGGCCCUAACGAACAUGGGAGGGUGUAUCUGAUCUCCUGGAUGACCACUGACGACGUCCCCUCAGAUAACAUGUAGCUGACAGCCAGGCCUGGCCUCUAGAACAUCAUCAGGGCUUUUCAUCAAGACUCCAGGAGAAAAUAAAUGCACAUAUCAUCUGUGCCCUUGGCAUGGGCAGCAAGGGUGACCUUGAUUUUCAGGUGUGCACAGCUACCUUUGACCUUCAAGUCCCACUGGAGAGGCAUAGGCACGAUCCCCACGAAGAGGAAACUGCCUGAGUCAGCCCCCGGCGACCUUGCCUCAUCCACCAUUGUCCUUGUGUCUUAGCACUUCAGUCUGCAAUCAAUCAAUGCCCAUUUGGUGCUCAGCAAAUCCCACAGAGAUGUUCAGUUCAAGGACUCCGGACGGACGUGCAGGACAGAUCUCAAGGACAUGGUGGUAUUUGACAACUCUCCUUAUGCCAAUGUGGAUCAAAAGGUAUUUUGUACAAUGUUCCUAAAUAUAACUCCUAAGCAUUGCAUGAGGUCUUGGAAGAGAACGGGAGACAGAGAAGCCUUCCAAGUGCGACUCUCGGUGGCUUACACAAGCUUCCUCAGCACCACACACAGGGCCAGCAGCACCACUGUGCUGAAAGCCUUGCUUUGCCUUUCUGUCCCCACUUACUGUAGCUUUUUACCUUCGAGGUCAAAGAGCAAAGUGUAAUCACAAAGUUCAUUGUCCACUA
Long non-coding RNA from Ictidomys tridecemlineatus (thirteen-lined ground squirrel), 2883 nucleotides. RefSeq lists it as uncharacterized. NCBI's taxonomy places the organism in Eukaryota, Metazoa, Chordata, Mammalia, Rodentia, Sciuridae. The record is from RefSeq and is a predicted model, not a curated record.